This 30-nucleotide non-coding RNA is filed under the name Rattus norvegicus (Norway rat). The record is from RNAcentral. Lineage: Eukaryota; Metazoa; Chordata; Mammalia; Rodentia; Muridae.
GAUGUGAUACCCUACNGGCUAUUCAGACCC